This 483-nucleotide ribosomal RNA is filed under the name uncultured bacterium. RNAcentral describes it as "partial 16S ribosomal RNA". It matches the Rfam family "Bacterial small subunit ribosomal RNA", at positions 30 to 507 of the family's 1533-position model. The record is from RNAcentral.
UUGAACGCUGGCGGCAGGCCUAACACAUGCAAGUCGAGCGGAUGAAGGGAGCUUGCUCCUGGAUUCAGCGGCGGACGGGUGAGUAAUGCCUAGGAAUCUGCCUGGUAGUGGGGGAUAACGUCCGGAAACGGGCGCUAAUACCGCAUACGUCCUGAGGGAGAAAGUGGGGGAUCUUCGGACCUCACGCUAUCAGAUGAGCCUAGGUCGGACUAGCUAGUUGGUGGGGUAAAGGCCUACCAAGGCGACGAUCCGUAACUGGUCUGAGAGGAUGAUCAGUCACACUGGAACUGAGACACGGUCCAGACUCCUACGGGAGGAAGCAGUGGGGAAUAUUGGACAAUGGGCGAAAGCCUGAUCCAGCCAUGCCGCGUGUGUGAAGAAGGUCUUCGGAUUGUAAAGCACUUUAAGUUGGGAGGAAGGGCAGUAAGUUAAUACCUUGCUGUUUUGACGUUACCAACAGAAUAAGCACCGGCUAACUUCGUG